Molecule: long non-coding RNA, 626 nt
Organism: Mauremys mutica (yellowpond turtle)
Lineage: Eukaryota; Metazoa; Chordata; Testudines; Geoemydidae
Exons: 4
Source: RefSeq, a predicted model, not a curated record
GCGGGGAGGCCUGGCGGGGCCGCUGGCGGCUCGCGGAGUCUCCCCUCAGCAAUGUGCUUUGCAGCAAACGGGGGCUGCCCACGUUGCGGGGUUUCCUUCAGGCCGGGGUUAGAAACCCGAGAGGCCCCCGUGCUCCAGCUGCCGCUCGGCGGAGCGGAGGAUCUAGAACAAUCUGUGAUUGACAGUUUCCAGAGGGCGAGAGCAGCGCAUUUAUGGACUGAUACCAUCUCCCUUUUCUUUGACCUUCUUUGAACCUGGAUCUCCCACAUCCCAGGUUGUAAAGCUCAUGCUUUUACAUGCGGAGGGCCUCAGUUCACUCCCUGCAGACAUCGCAAACAGGAGUGGUGUCACAUUUGGCUAUGCUGUCUGUAACCACUAAACCACAACCAACUUCUUGCUCCUGGAAGAGAAGCCGAAGCCCAGCACUCCACUGGUGCUCCGCAAUGUGUGUGUUGUGGCUCCCUGCAUGGGCUGCUACAUGUAGAGUGUUUGUAUUUGAUUAAAAGGCGCUGCCCCCUUUAAGAACAGAAUGUGGGAAACAGCAUGUGUUGGAGACUGAGUGGUGUGAUAUGACCUGUGUGUCCACUGUCUGGAAGACCCUGCCUGCCUAAGAUCUGAACUCUGCC